Peromyscus leucopus (white-footed mouse) is the source of this 740-nucleotide long non-coding RNA. RefSeq lists it as uncharacterized. The transcript is spliced from 3 exons. NCBI's taxonomy places the organism in Eukaryota, Metazoa, Chordata, Mammalia, Rodentia, Cricetidae. The record is from RefSeq and is a predicted model, not a curated record.
AUGACAUUGAGAAAAAAACUGAGCAAGGAGUUAGGGAUGUGUCUCAGCAGGCAGAGUGCCAGCCUCAAAUUUACAAAGCCUGGGUUCAAUACCCAGAUUCGCAGGACAGUGUGGUGGUGCAGGCCUGUGAUCCUAUCACUCAGGAGGUGGGAGUCAGUGAGUCAGAAGUUCACAGUCACCCUCCAAUACAAAGUUUGAAAGCCUGCCUGGGCUAGAGACCCCAUCUCAAAACAAAACCUGAAGGCCUAACAAAGAAACCCUUCAAAGCAAAGACUGAGCUUAGCUGUGGACAAGUCCACAAAUGUGGAAGUGGGUCAAAGAGACAUUCAACCAGGUGCUGGGAAACGAGGAUUUCGGACUUCAGUCCGAUGCUGAAAGGGAGACCAGAGAAUCAUCCGCGUGGAGGAGAACCUCAGGAGAGAGCAGGCAUCUGAGGACUGAGCCUGGAGACACACCUCCUCUUUGGAGUGAGGAGCAGGAAGGAACCAGUCUGGGUGGGCCACAGCGCCAGUUCAGGAAGAAGUCGAAGGCAGAGCAGGUGACCGCUGUCUUCCAGGUGUGAUUGUACAACAGACCCAUGGACCACAGGCAGUCAGCUGGAGCAACAUAGUGCCAAUAGCCACGGAGUCACACAAGGGACAAGCUAAGCGAGACUUACCUUCAGAAGGAACAUAAAGAGUGCCGUCCACAGAUGGAGAAGAAUCACUGUUUCUGACUGGACAAAGCAGGAGGAAGUGAAA